UAGGGAAUCUUCGGCAAUGGGGGGAACCCUGACCGAGCAACGCCGCGUGAGUGAAGAAGGCUUUCGGAUCGUAAAGCUCUGUUGUUAAGGAAGAACGAGUGUGAGAAUGGAAAGUUCAUGCUGUGACGGUACUUAACCAGAAAGGGACGGCUAACUACGUGCCAGCAGCCGCGGUAAUACGUAGGUCCCGAGCGUUGUCCGGAUUUAUUGGGCGUAAAGCGAGCGCAGGCGGUUAGAAAAGUCUGAAGUGAAAGGCAGUGGCUCAACCAUUGUAGGCUUUGGAAACUGUUUAACUUGAGUGCAGAAGGGGAGAGUGGAAUUCCAUGUGUAGCGGUGAAAUGCGUAGGUAUAUGGGGGAACACCGGUGGCGAAAGCGGCUCUCUGGUCUGUAACUGACGCUGAGGCUCGAAAGCGUGGGGAGCGAACAGG
This 429-nucleotide ribosomal RNA is filed under the name Verrucomicrobiota bacterium. Its description in RNAcentral is "Verrucomicrobia bacterium partial 16S ribosomal RNA". It matches the Rfam family "Bacterial small subunit ribosomal RNA", at positions 355 to 776 of the family's 1533-position model. The record is from RNAcentral. Lineage: Bacteria; Pseudomonadati; Verrucomicrobiota.